Molecule: ribosomal RNA, 468 nt
Filed under: uncultured bacterium
Lineage: Bacteria
Description: partial 16S ribosomal RNA
Rfam family: Bacterial small subunit ribosomal RNA
Source: RNAcentral
GACGAACGCUGGCGGCGUGCUUAACACAUGCAAGUCGAACGGAAAGGCCCUGCUUUUGUGGGGUGCUCGAGUGGCGAACGGGUGAGUAACACGUGAGUAACCUGCCCUUGACUUUGGGAUAACUUCAGGAAACUGGGGCUAAUCCCGGAUAGGCGCUCCUGCUGCAUGGUGGGGGUUGGAAAGUUUCGGCGGUUGGGGAUGGACUCGCGGCUUAUCAGCUUGUUGGUGGGGUAGUGGCUUACCAAGGCUUUGACGGGUGGCCGGCCUGAGAGGGUGACCGGCCACAUGGGGACUGGGAUACGGCCCAGACUCCUACGGGAGGCAGCAGUGGGGAAUAUUGCACAAUGGGCGGAAGCCUGAUGCAGCAACGCCGCGUGCGGGAUGACGGCCUUCGGGUUGUAAACCGCUUUCGCCUGUGACGAAGCGUGAGUGACGGUAAUGGGUAAAGAAGCACCGGCUAACUACGUG